GACUUUCUACGUAAUUUCUCGGCUUUUUCUUGCUGUUUACCAGGUUUAAGUGAAGCAUCAAUACGAUUGGGAGCAGGACUGUGGCCUCUAGGUAAUCUUUUCCUCUUUAAUAAUUCUCUGUUUGCAUUUUCAUCAUUAACCAACAUUUCAAUAUCUUCAUUACCCGUAAUACUUCUUGAUCUUUUACUUCUUAAUAAAGAAAUUUGAUCAGAAACAUCAUUUACUGCCCUUCUUGUCAAAGACCUUCCUCUUUCUCUCUUAUUCUCCUCUUUUCUUGCAAGACUUCUACCUCUUUCAUAAAGCUUAGAUACAUCAUAACCUAACCCAUCAAGUUGAUUUGUUAGUUUUGUUAAUUCACCAGCAGAUGCCUGUCUAGCUCUUCCUCUAGGUAAUAUAGGCGCAUUUCUUGCCUUAUUGUCCAUAUUUUCUCUCCUCUUAAGAUUAAUCUUAUUGUGUAUGUUUUUAAGAGCUGUUUGCGUUUGCUCCCAUAGCUUUUCAUCAAACUCUUGCGAUGGAUCAUUCAUUAGUAAUAUCUCCUCCUCCUUUUCAAGUUCCUUCAAUUUUUCUUCAAUAUCAGGAUCGAUAAAGUCAAUAAUAUUUUUGCCAUCCAUAAUUUCUGGAACCAAAUCAUAUUUCCAAUCAUCAUCCUUAAGAAUAUACUUCCUAUUCCAAUCCAUUUGAUACACACCAGCACCACCCAUUUCCUCUUCAAGCUCCUUUUCUAGUGGUCCGGAU
This 735-nucleotide non-coding RNA is filed under the name Cryptosporidium parvum. Lineage: Eukaryota; Apicomplexa; Conoidasida; Eucoccidiorida; Cryptosporidiidae. The record is from RNAcentral.